This 254-nucleotide ribosomal RNA is filed under the name uncultured bacterium. RNAcentral describes it as "partial 16S ribosomal RNA". It matches the Rfam family "Bacterial small subunit ribosomal RNA", at positions 524 to 777 of the family's 1533-position model. The record is from RNAcentral.
UACGUAGGGUGCAAGCGUUAAUCGGAAUUACUGGGCGUAAAGCGUGCGCAGGCGGCUAUGCAAGACAGAUGUGAAAUCCCCGGGCUUAACCUGGGAACUGCAUUUGUGACUGCAUGGCUAGAGUACGGUAGAGGGGGAUGGAAUUCCGCGUGUAGCAGUGAAAUGCGUAGAUAUGCGGAGGAACACCGAUGGCGAAGGCAAUCCCUGGACCUGUACUGACGCUCAUGCACGAAAGGCGUGGGGAGCAAACGAGG